GAGGGUAUAGCUCAGUGGAAGAGUGCUUGCCUAACAUACAUGAGGUCCUGGGUUCGAUCCCCAGUACCUCCA
RNAcentral lists this transfer RNA (72 nucleotides) under Camelus bactrianus (Bactrian camel). It matches the Rfam family "tRNA". Rfam says of the family: Transfer RNA (tRNA) molecules are approximately 80 nucleotides in length. The record is from Rfam by way of RNAcentral. RNAcentral also lists the same sequence under 2 other names. Lineage: Eukaryota; Metazoa; Chordata; Mammalia; Artiodactyla; Camelidae.